AAACCAGCACCUCAAGUGGUCAGGAGGAUUAUUGGGCCUAAAGCAUCCGUAGCCUGCUGCAUAAGUUUUCGGUUAAAUCCAUACGCUCAACGUAUGGGCUGCCGGGAAUACUGUGCAGCUAGGGAGUGGGAGAGGUAGACGGUACUCGGUAGGAAGGGGUAAAAUCCUUUGAUCUAUCGAUGACCACCUGUGGCGAAGGCGGUCUACCAGAACACGUUCGACGGUGAGGGAUGAAAGCUGGGGGAGCAAACCGGAUUAGAUACCCGAGUAGUCC
This 274-nucleotide ribosomal RNA is filed under the name uncultured bacterium. RNAcentral's name for it is "partial 16S ribosomal RNA". It matches the Rfam family "Archaeal small subunit ribosomal RNA", at positions 473 to 747 of the family's 1478-position model. The record is from RNAcentral.